UUGGAGUGACAGAAAAUGUUGAAGACUGUGGUUAGUUGGCGAAACAAUGGAGCAGGUUUGGGGUCCCACUGAAGAAGGCAAACGUGAGGACAGGGACAUUUCAGUUCCCUGUGAGCAGAGCAGGUGCCUAUCCCAGAGGCUCGGGAGAGGUCAGUGCCCAGGUGUGUGCAGAAAUUCUAACCUCUGUAAGUGAAUCAGUCUGCGACUCCCACUUCUGUACCUGGGACAACCCAGCUGCAAGAUCUGUUGGAACCUUUUGAAUCACGAGAUGCGGUAUGUGCCACCAGCCCAUCAGAACUGGACCCUGGCCUUCUGGCUCUUAGUGUCUUCCCCAGACUCGGCGUUCCCUGCUCCAUCCUCCUGGCUGGCAGAUCUCUCUGGCCCUGCCCCCCACCAUGUAGUUAAAUUACUUUCUUUUCCAAAUUUGCACUAUGUCUCUCCUCUAUGCCAAGAUCUGUGAAUAAAUGGCAGACCAGAGA
Molecule: long non-coding RNA, 479 nt
Organism: Marmota flaviventris (yellow-bellied marmot)
Lineage: Eukaryota; Metazoa; Chordata; Mammalia; Rodentia; Sciuridae
Source: RefSeq, a predicted model, not a curated record